Molecule: small RNA, 341 nt
Filed under: Pongo abelii (Sumatran orangutan)
Lineage: Eukaryota; Metazoa; Chordata; Mammalia; Primates; Hominidae
Description: retained intron
Source: RNAcentral
GUGCACCAGGUGUACAAGUACCCCUUCGAGCAGGUGGUCGCCAGCUUUUUCCGAAAGGAAGAGCCUCCGGGAAUCCCAGCUCGUGAGCUCCGUGGAGUUGCAGAUGACCGACGUGUGGAGCUUUCGUUCCCGUUCGUCACUGACCCCUUAAAAGCGAGAGGAGGCCAUUGGGCAGUCAUCCUGGUUUACUCAGCAUGAUCGUUCUGCUGCCUCUCCACUGCCCCUUAUUAAACAGCUGUGGGACUUCGUGCAGGUUGCUUACUCUCUUUGUGCCUUAGUUUGCUAAUCUGUAAAAUGGGGAAAAUAAUAGUACCGACGCACAGAGUUGUUGUGAGGAUCCA